CAUGCGUCAGCGGGCCGAGGAUAAGACUCCCAUAUAAAAGGUCCCUCGCGCAAAUGCCCUGAGAAAAGAAGAGAUAAGAGCGCCAGUCGCAAAAACCCUCUCUUACGUUCUAGGGUUUCUCCUCCUCCUUGCGAAGGGCAAUCCGAAAUGGCAGGAAGAGGCCGAGCACCCCGUCAUGUUCUUGAUGAGAGACGAGGUUAUCCUGCUGUUCAUGAAGGCCCUCCAUUCAUUCGAGGUCCUGUACCUCGGCCACCCCAUCCCGCACUGUUGGAGGAAGAGCUUGAAAUCCAGCAUGGUGAAAUUCGGAGGCUUGUGGUGGACAACCGGAGGCUAGCUGAAGAUCGUAUGGGUUUGCAGCGGGAACUAGGUAUGGCAAAAGAGGAACUGCAUCGCAUGAAUAUUGCCAUUUCAGAAAUCCGUGCAGAGAAGGAAGCCCAUUCUAGGGAAUUGAUUGAGAAAGGCUUGAAGCUAGAAGCUGAUUUACGAGCAACCGAGCCUUUGAGAAAUGAGACUAUACAGUUGCGUGCAGAAGCUCAGAAAUUGACUGCCUUGAGACAGGAACUGGCUGGGCAAGUUCAAAAUCUCUCGCAAGAGCUGGCUAGGUUACAAGCUGAUAAUCAGCAGAUUCCUCAUUUGAGAGCAGAGAUCGAUGGUUUACAUCAGGAGCUUGUGCGUGCUAGGACUGCUUUUGAGUUUGAGAAGAAGGCAAAUGUUGAGCUGGUAGAACAGAGGCAGGCAAUGGAGAAGAACCUGGUUUCCAUGGCUCGUGAAGUUGAAAAGCUAAGAGCAGACUUUUCAAAUGCCGAUAAUAGACCAUGGGGUGCAGGUGGAGCAUUUGGGGUGAAACGUGGUAGCCCAGAGGGGGGCUUUGCUGCUUCAUAUGGGGAUGGAUAUGGACUUCAUUCGGGUGCUGCUGACAAAGGUCCUCUAUAUGGCAUGGGUUCUGGUUCUUGGGGUGCAUUCGAGAAGUCUCGCCUCGGACGUCGUUGAAAUCCAGUUGAUUUGCCAUUCGAUAUGAAGGAAGUGUGUUCCCUGUCUGGACUGCUGGUGCUUCUAUAUUCAAGGGGUUGGAGUUGUUAUAAGUAUCAAAAGAUGCAUGCAUAGAUGAUGUCAUCAUGUUAUAGUGACAUUGGGUGCAACGAGAGGAGAAAGGCCACUUAAUGUUCCUCUCUCUUCCAGAAGAUCACUAAUGUUAACCAUCUUGGCAGAAUUUAGCUCCUUUGCCAAGCUUGUCUCCAACCCUUUCACCUUCUCCACUAAUGCAGGCAUCACAUCAACAUUCGAUGAUGGCCCCUCAUCCAUACCAGAGGAUGCUGGGUAUCCCAUGAGGCCUCUCACAUUUAAUGAGAACCUUAUUAUAUUGGUACUGAAGCAAAAACUGCAAAAAUGGUUCUUGUGAAAAGUGCUUCUUCAAUAGGGAACUGGAAGGGGAGUUGCUUGAUGUGCCGGUGGAGUGCGACAGCCAUAGGCAUGCACUCUGCAGUUGUACAAAUGGUAUACACGUUACUAAAAACUAAACCAUCCAAAUUAUGGGUCCCGCUGCUGAUAGUUCAUAACUACAAGUAAGAUUGGUCGAUGAUCCUAACCUGUGAUUAAUAGACAUUGUUGGUUGAAGUAGGGAUGUUGACUGUCCGUUAGAUGUCUCCACCAGUAGGCCAGUUAGGACAUCAAUCAAAACUGUAGUUUUGGUUUUAUCACCCAUGUAAAGUGGGGGCAUGAUUUGGAUGAUUUUAGUUUGUUACACAUGGCCGGUGUACAAUUUCUGAGUGCAUGCCUGUGAAGUAUCUCAACAUCAGACUUUCAGAGUUUCUCAAAAUGGAAAUGUCUCCAGCUUGCAUUCCUGGCGUUGCUCAGUGUCCCUGCUUGUGAAUUUUAUAUAUGUUGAACGCUGCAGGCCGUAGUAACCAAAUGGGUUGUCAUCUCAUCCAUGGGCUAAUGGCCAUGAGUUGCAGGAAACUUGGCCCAGUGAUAUACUCUGGUAUUGUAUCUCUACAAGUGGUGCUCAUGAUAUGGCAACCUAGAUAAUUGAUCUAGGCUCUGGGCGUGGAUGGACGGUUCCCUGAAAAAUUUUCUUGCUAGUACUGAUUUUACAUUUCUGACUUCUGUCCAGGCCGAAACACCAAACUGCCAAAAAAAAGAAGUUAAUGAAUGCUGAUCCCUGUGGUCCCAUUCCUGGAUUUAUGGGAGGGGUUUGAGGGAUUUUUGUUUAUAUCACUCUUUUUUUCUUUUUUUUUUUUGCAAUUUCUCCCCUUCUCUGAGGUUUUCUAACAUUUCUCCCUCGUGGAGAGAUGGUUGUGAAAAAGGUAGAAUCAUUUGAUACUCCAGUUGCAUAUGAUGAUUGAUACACAGGUACUUAAAAAUGGUAACACGAGACAUUACUCAACGACCUAAAAUUAGGUCCCAAAAGUUAAUGUGUUGCACAAUAAGAAUCAUCUGUGAAUGCCAGAUAUUUGUUAAAUAGGACCAUUGGAUAUCUGUCAGUUUUGUCUGUCCAAUAAAUGUUCACAAAUCUACAGUUAGGUAAUCAAAUAAUUAUAUUUUGUUUGUUUA
Molecule: RNA transcript, 2550 nt
Organism: Magnolia sinica
Lineage: Eukaryota; Viridiplantae; Streptophyta; Magnoliopsida; Magnoliales; Magnoliaceae
Gene name: protein FLX-like 3
Exons: 9
Source: RefSeq, a predicted model, not a curated record